RNAcentral lists this ribosomal RNA (468 nucleotides) under uncultured bacterium. RNAcentral describes it as "partial 16S ribosomal RNA". It matches the Rfam family "Bacterial small subunit ribosomal RNA", at positions 28 to 507 of the family's 1533-position model. The record is from RNAcentral.
GACGAACGCUGGCGGCGUGCUUAACACAUGCAAGUCGAACGGAAAGGCCCUGCUUUUGUGGGGUGCUCGAGUGGCGAACGGGUGAGUAACACGUGAGUAACCUGCCCUUGACUUUGGGAUAACUUCAGGAAACUGGGGCUAAUACCGGAUAGGAGCUCCUGCUGCAUGGUGGGGGUUGGAAAGUUUCGGCGGUUGGGGAUGGACUCGCGGCUUAUCAGCUUGUUGGUGGGGUAGUGGCUUACCAAGGCUUUGACGGGUAGCCGGCCUGAGAGGGUGACCGGCCACAUGGGGACUGAGAUACGGCCCAGACUCCUACGGGAGGCAGCAGUGGGGAAUAUUGCACAAUGGGCGGAAGCCUGAUGCAGCAACGCAGCGUGCGGGAUGACGGCCUUCGGGUUGUAAACCGAUUUCGCCUGUGACGAAGCGUGAGUGACGGUAAUGGGUAAAGAAGCACCGGCUAACUACGUG